Nothoprocta perdicaria is the source of this 884-nucleotide long non-coding RNA. RefSeq lists it as uncharacterized. Lineage: Eukaryota; Metazoa; Chordata; Aves; Tinamiformes; Tinamidae. The transcript is spliced from 3 exons. The record is from RefSeq and is a predicted model, not a curated record.
UAGGACAUCAGAAGAUGAUGGCAAAUUGAUCUGGCAAACUCAUCACUGGCCCAGGGACAGUCCUCAGUGGGAAUGACCAUUUGAUGGGGCUGGUUUUACUGUGAAAAACUGCCAUAUUCUCUGACGAUGCUCAGAAGACGUGCAGAUCAAGCCCUGAACUUUGCAGUUUGGAGCUCUACAACACUGCAGGGCAACCUGAUAGUAAGAGGACUGGUAGAGUCAUGGGACUGCACAAAUCCAAGCCGAGCAGUAAGGCGAGCUCCAGAGAAAGGUGAAUAGCGUUCCAAGGAAGGAAUACUGCUGGCUCAGUGUGGUCUACAGCUUGGCAGUGUGACAUUCAGAAAAGAAAUCACUGCAGACCGUUUCCUGCCAACAGUUUUUAUGAAGACUUUCAAACCCUUUCAAAGUGGAGUGCAGAAGUAACGGCUUGAUAUCGCGCUCAGUCAUUCCCCUGUCAGAAAGGAAGGAAGGAAGGUAGCACCUGUAACUUGUAUUUGCAAGAAAUCCCAAGGACAUACUACACAGUAUGUGCUUUAAACGAGAUUAAACAUUUCAGUUCAAACCCCGCUAAAGUAAAAAUUCUGACUGGAAUCUUUGUCUUUUCGGCUCUUAAUAAGAACAUUGUUUAUGGAAAAUUAGGGCAAAAUAGAAAACACAAUGAACAAAUUUGAAUAAAAAAUAAUUUUAACUCUCUUUUUAUUUUCAAGGUUUGCUGCUUAUAUUUUUGGUCUGAAAAAGGCCUAAUGUGAUUGUAAAGUUUUCUUUCUUUUCCAAAUCUAGUAUUUGGUCAAAUAAAAUCAUGCCUUUCUGCAUAAGCCUUGGCUCACUCAGGAUUCAGCAAUUCCUGAUAAUAAUACGUAAUACUGGUGUUUGGGGGCCUUUUU